GCCUUCAUGGCGAAAUGGUCAGCACACUCGACUCGUAUUCGAGAGGUCCAGGCUCGAGUCCCGGUGAGGUA
This 71-nucleotide transfer RNA is filed under the name Stegodyphus mimosarum. It matches the Rfam family "tRNA". From Rfam's summary of the family: Transfer RNA (tRNA) molecules are approximately 80 nucleotides in length. The record is from Rfam by way of RNAcentral. Lineage: Eukaryota; Metazoa; Arthropoda; Arachnida; Araneae; Eresidae.